Helicoverpa armigera (cotton bollworm) is the source of this 574-nucleotide long non-coding RNA. RefSeq lists it as uncharacterized. The record is from RefSeq and is a predicted model, not a curated record. Lineage: Eukaryota; Metazoa; Arthropoda; Insecta; Lepidoptera; Noctuidae. The transcript has 3 exons.
UGCCCGUUUUCACCAACAACCUCUUACCGUUUCCCUAUCUAAAUGCUACUUUUAGUAAGGAUCCCUCCCAAUUUGACACCUACCUAAAUUCAUUUUCACCACACUUGUACAUGGAUCCCUUAAGUAAGUGACAGAUUACUAGUUCUACAAACGAUAAUGCAAAGUCGAUAUUUUAUCGAUAAAAUGAUUUUUCUGUACUUCUUAAGAAAUAAACGUCUAUCGAGUAUAUAUUACUAAAGCCUAUAAGUUUAUUUUGGCAGAGAAGAGAAAACGAGGAUAAACCUUUCUUGCAGAAGAAAAAGACAAGCUAGUGAAAUUGCUGACGUCUCAUAGAGACACAAUAUUAAACAAAAAACGGAUGGGACCACGAACGAAGCCAAAAACAAAGCUUGGAUCCAGUCACAAAUAGUUUUAAUGCGACAGGAACCCUUUACAGUUUCAGGUGGUGCGAGAAAUUGGAAAGACGUGUAAAAACAUGCUGCGCCCAGCCCACCUCAAAUUGAAUUGGUGCAGGAGGAUGAUGAUAAUGUUUGGUACAUCAUAUGAGGACUAAUAUUAAAAUAUUUGUUUACUA